This is a long non-coding RNA of Plodia interpunctella (Indianmeal moth), 372 nucleotides long. RefSeq lists it as uncharacterized. NCBI's taxonomy places the organism in Eukaryota, Metazoa, Arthropoda, Insecta, Lepidoptera, Pyralidae. The record is from RefSeq and is a predicted model, not a curated record. The transcript is spliced from 3 exons.
GAACAAAUAAAUUAUUCUGUGAUGACUUCGCUGUCAACUUCUAUCAACAAGUUUCUCUUCUAAUACAUACUACCUACAGGAUAUCAAGAAAGAUGACCAACAGUUUCCAAAAUUUGUACCGUUGAGCGUCGGAGCCCAGAGUCCGCAUUUGUACUUUUUCGUCUGGCUCCAUUUCGCACGUUCAUCGGAAUCCCUAGUUGUCAGUUGCACGCAUAUCAUCCUUGACGACACCAAGCCAGCAUUUCUUGGGUUUGUCUCUUCUGCCAGAGUGCAGUGACGUCAUUCCCAUUGAGCACCAAUCUCAAACUACACGAUUGGAUUACCUGUCUAUGAUAAGCAACAAUAAAAACAACAGGGAUUAGCACAUAUAUG